UAACGCGUGAGUAACCUGCCUUUCAGAGGGGGAUAACAUUCUGAAAAGGAUGCUAAUACCGCAUAAAGUCAGAGUGUCGCAUGGCGCACUGACCAAAGGAGCAAUCCGCUGAAAGAUGGACUCGCGUCCGAUUAGCUAGUUGGCGGGGUAAAGGCCCACCAAGGCGACGAUCGGUAGCCGGACUGAGAGGUUGAACGGCCACAUUGGGACUGAGACACGGCCCAGACUCCUACGGGAGGCAGCAGUGGGGGAUAUUGCACAAUGGGGGAAACCCUGAUGCAGCAACGCCGCGUGAGUGACGAAGGUCUUCGGAUUGUAAAACUCUGUUCUUGGUGAAGAUAAUGACGGUAGCCAAGGAGAAAGCUCCGGCUAACUACGUGCCAGCAGCCGCGGUAAUACGUAGGGAGCGAGCGUUGUCCGGAAUUACUGGGUGUAAAGGGUGCGUAGGCGGCCUUGCAAGUCAGGCGUGAAAACCAUGGGCUCAACCCGUGGACUGCGUUUGAAACUGUGAGGCUUGAGUGAAGUAGAGGUAGGCGGAAUUCCCGGUGUAGCGGUGAAAUGCGUAGAGAUCGGGAGGAACACCAGUGGCGAAGGCGGCCUACUGGGCUUUAACUGACGCUGAGGCACGAAAGCAUGGGUAGCAAACAGGAUUAGAUACCCUGGUAGU
Molecule: ribosomal RNA, 667 nt
Filed under: uncultured bacterium
Lineage: Bacteria
Description: bacterial SSU rRNA
Rfam family: Bacterial small subunit ribosomal RNA
Source: RNAcentral